This 311-nucleotide ribosomal RNA is filed under the name Haloarcula sp. Atlit-120R. RNAcentral describes it as "bacterial SSU rRNA". It matches the Rfam family "Archaeal small subunit ribosomal RNA", at positions 1 to 313 of the family's 1478-position model. Lineage: Archaea; Methanobacteriati; Methanobacteriota; Halobacteria; Halobacteriales; Haloarculaceae. The record is from RNAcentral.
AUUCCGGUUGAUCCUGCCGGAGGCCAUUGCUAUCGGAGUCCGAUUUAGCCAUGCUAGUUGCACGAGUUUAGACUCGUAGCAUAUAGCUCAGUAACACGUGGCCAAACUACCCUACAGACCGCGAUAACCUCGGGAAACUGAGGCCAAUAGCGGAUAUAACUCUCAGACUGGAGUGUCGAGAGUUAGAAACGUUCCGGCGCUGUAGGAUGUGGCUGCGGCCGAUUAGGUAGAUGGUGGGGUAACGGCCCACCAUGCCGAUAAUCGGUACAGGUUGUGAGAGCAAGAGCCUGGAGACGGUAUCUGAGACAAGA